GGCGUUUGGGUGGGGGAGAGGAACAUAGCCUCACGUGUGCUUGCAGCCUUCCUCAUUUAUUAGCACUCGGCCUGGGGAAGAUCUGGAUUUGAGCACGUACUUAAAUUUCAGCGUGUGCUGUGGCGUUGCCCUGAACGGAGACCAUCUCAAGCUUUUGCUGAAGUGCUUUCCUGAAGCGGGGCCAGCAGACUGUGAAAGUUGUCUCGUCUCUUUUCUGCUCCACUGUGUACAUGCUCAUUGUGGCUUGCUGGCUAUUUAUUGCAAGAAAAAAAAUCAAUUGAGUUAGAGCUAGCUAAGUAACUGAGAGUAAGUUGGUUAGGAGGGUCAUGCAUGAGUUGAGAGCAAGACAUCUGACCGUGCCAUUAGUCUCUCUUGUUUCUAUGAUCCUAAUUCUGCUCUAAAUUAAUUCUUUUGUUUAGCUGCUGUUUUUUUUUCCCCCCUCCUUUUUGUUUUCGCAUGAAUGCUUGUCUCUAUAUUUAGGUCUGCCGGGACGGGAUGUUACGAAUAAUUGUUGAUUGAUAUUAUUAAACACUAACACGCUUGGCUGUGUUGCACUAAUGAUGGGGCUUUGGGGAUAUGCAAAUCAAUUAAUUGCAGUAAUUGCUGUAAUAGCUGUUUUGGAGGAUGCUGUUGAAGAGCCCUUGGGAUGGCAGACAAAGAGACAUUUGGAAGUGUGGAGGAAAAGGGGUCCUUGAGAGUUGCUGAAGAUUGCUGCUACAAGCUGCUGAUUUGCAAACCUGUGUUUAUUUUGUUCUCCAAAACCCACUCAGAGCAAAUCCUUCUUUGCUUUGUUUCAGGCUUACCCCUGUGUGGCUUCUCCUGGACUCCUUCUGAGGCCCGUUCUGCUGAGGCAGAGCUGAAGAAACUUAGAGAUGAGGCACAGCCUCUUUCAGGAUCAGCAGUUUGCAGAGUGUACCUCGAAUCCCAGAAGACGCUAGAGCUACCCACAGUCCAUGAGAAACAUUGCCUUAAAAAAUCCUUCUCACGGCCAGCUCGGAGGAAAUGCAACUGGUGA
This 1015-nucleotide long non-coding RNA is filed under the name Anas platyrhynchos platyrhynchos (common mallard). RNAcentral's name for it is "lncRNA (ENSAPLG00000018983.1)". The record is from RNAcentral. Lineage: Eukaryota; Metazoa; Chordata; Aves; Anseriformes; Anatidae.